This 375-nucleotide unclassified non-coding RNA is filed under the name soil metagenome. Its description in RNAcentral is "partial contains 5.8S ribosomal RNA, internal transcribed spacer 2, and large subunit ribosomal RNA". The stretch from base 1 to 120 matches the Rfam family "5.8S ribosomal RNA", at positions 35 to 154 of the family's 154-position model. The record is from RNAcentral.
GAUGAAGAACGUAGCGAAAUGCGAUAAGUAAUGUGAAUUGCAGAAUUCAGUGAAUCAUCGAAUCUUUGAACGCAUCUUGCGCUCCUUGGUAUUCUGAGGAGCAUGCCUGUUUGAGUGUCAUUAAAUUCUCAACUACACUGACUUUGAAUUGGUGUGGCUUGGAUUUGGGGGGAAAAUUGUUGUGGGCUUUUUGUAUAGUCUGCUCCCCUGAAAUUGAUUAGCGGUACCUUUGUGGAACUGUCUACAGGUGUGAUAAUUAUCUACAUCUUAGACAUCUGCUGGAAUGCUGCUCUCUAAACCUUACUUGUAUUGACAAUCUUGACCUCAAAUCAGGUAGGACUACCCGCUGAACUUGAGCAUAUCAAAAGCGGAGGA